GCCGUUUCUCCUGUUUUAGUGGUCGUCACGUGUUGCAAUCCUAAGUGUGUCGUACGUCCUCAUAUUUUCACCUUUGUUUCAUGCCUCUCCGCUUCAGCUUGGUCCUACCUGUUUCACCGCGUGUUUCCAAGGUAGAGGCAGGUCUGCAGAUUGCCUGUCGUUGAUGACCUCACCAUUCCUGCUUCCCUCCCAUAUCCUCGGGUUCUCCGUUGUAUAUAACUCUUUUCUAUCUCUUGUUUUCUUAACUACUUUGUCGUCUUUCCAGUCCACUCUAAUAUUAUGUUCAUACGCUCUCCUAGCAAGUGCCCUGUUCAUCGAUCCUCUUUUUACAUUACAUUUGUGCUCUUUUAACUUAUCUUCCAAAUUUCUCGCUGUGGCUUCUAUGUAUAUUUCUCUUAUUCCUUUAUCUACAUUUAUGAUG
This 421-nucleotide long non-coding RNA is filed under the name Androctonus crassicauda. Lineage: Eukaryota; Metazoa; Arthropoda; Arachnida; Scorpiones; Buthidae. The record is from RNAcentral.